AAAGAUAUAGUUGAUAUACAACAUUAAAUUGCAAAUUUAAUGGAACCCAAAAGUUAUCUUU
RNAcentral lists this transfer RNA (61 nucleotides) under Acanthobdella peledina. RNAcentral describes it as "tRNA-Cys". The record is from RNAcentral. Lineage: Eukaryota; Metazoa; Annelida; Clitellata; Acanthobdellida.